CUACGGGGCGCAGCAGUGAGGAAUAUUGCACAAUGGAGGAAACUCUGAUGCAGCAACGCCGCGUGGAGGAUGACGCAUUUCGGUGUGUAAACUCCUUUUAUAUGUCAAGAAAAUGACGGUAGCAUAUGAAUAAGCUCCGGCUAACUCCGUGCCAGCAGCCGCGGUAAUACGGAGGGAGCAAGCGUUACUCGGAAUCACUGGGCGUAAAGGACGCGUAGGCGGGAUAGAAAGUCAGGUGUGAAAUCCUAUGGCUCAACCAUAGAACUGCACUUGAAACUUCUAACCUAGAGUAUGGGAGGGGAAGAUGGAAUUAGUGGUGUAGGGGUAAAAUCCGUAGAUAUCACUAGGAAUACCAAAAGCGAAGGCGAUCUUCUGGAACAAUACUGACGCUAAGGCGUGAAAGCGUGGGGAGCAAACAGGAUUAGAUACCCCAGUAGUC
RNAcentral lists this ribosomal RNA (439 nucleotides) under uncultured bacterium. Its description in RNAcentral is "partial 16S ribosomal RNA". It matches the Rfam family "Bacterial small subunit ribosomal RNA", at positions 339 to 795 of the family's 1533-position model. The record is from RNAcentral.